Ahaetulla prasina is the source of this 8601-nucleotide RNA transcript. It is a transcript of the gene named selenoprotein N, with no coding region annotated. The transcript is spliced from 13 exons. NCBI's taxonomy places the organism in Eukaryota, Metazoa, Chordata, Lepidosauria, Squamata, Colubridae. The record is from RefSeq and is a predicted model, not a curated record.
CCGAGGGGCGGUUGGUGGGAAGACGCGGAGAGGAGGAGGCAGGAAGAAAGACCACGCAGGCCGCCUGGACCAGCGCGGGAAAGGCGGGAGGGGGCAGCUGGAAGCUCCGCCGCCACGCCGCGCCGCGCCGCGCCGCCCGAGGCCGAAGCGGAGCCGCCGGUCGACUGAGGAGCCCCCGAGACGCCGCCGCCGCUUUAGCGGUCCGCGAAAGAAGCGGGAGGCCGCCGCCGCCAUUCUGCAUCCCGAGCGAGGCGGGGCCGAGAGCCGGCGUUUCCCCGGCCCGGCCAGCGGCGGCCAUGGCCCGCGGCGGUGAAGAGGAAGGCCGCCCGCCCGAACAGGCCCCCUCGCCUCCGGAGGCCUCCCAGAGCGGCGGUUUUGGGCGCCCGGCGCCACGGCCGCCUCCUCCCGCUCGGGUGCCGCGGCUGGGCCUCGCCCUGGCCUUUCUGGCGGCGCUGCUGGCGGCCAAAUACUACCGGGACGCGGAGGCCGCCCGGCGGCAGGAAACAGCCCUGAAGUCUCUGGGAAAUGAAGGUCUUUUCCUCUUCUCUUCCCUGGAUACUAACCAUGAUUUGUUCAUCAGUCCUGAGGAAUUCAAGCCAAUUGCAGAGAAAUUGACUGGCAUGGUUCCCGUGUCUGGCACUGAGGAGGAAGAGGUGACGGAUCCCAAUGGGGAGACACUCUCCAUCCUCGCAAAAUUCCAGCCUCUGUUGAUGGAAACCAUGACAAAGAGCAAAGAUGGCUUCCUUGGCGUUUCUCAUGUGGCUUUCGCUGGGCUCCGAAACUGGACAGCUCCUGCUUCUCCCCUCAGUAUGAAGUUUGCUCGGCAAUUCAAGGCGUUUCUUCCCCCAAAGAAUAAGUUGGAGCUUGGUGACCCAUGGUGGAUCAUUCCCAGUGAACUAAACAUCUUUACCGGAUAUCUUCCAAAUAAUCGUUUCUACCCUCCAGCUCCCAAGGGCAAGGAGGUCAUCAUUCACAAGCUCUUGAGUAUGUUCCACCCGCGGCCAUUUGUGAAAACUCGUUUUGCUCCUCAGGGAGCAGUGGCCUGCAUUCAAGCUGUAGCAGAGUUCUACUACAAAAUAGCCUUCAGAAUCCAUGCAGAAUUCCAGCUGAAUGAGCCUCCAGAUUUCCCAUUCUGGUUUUCUCCUGCCCAAUUCACGGGCUACAUUGUCCUCUCAAAGGAUUCUUCCCAUGUUCGAGAGUUCAAGCUAUUUGUCCCUAAUAACAGGUCUCUCAAUGUAGAUAUGGAAUGGUUAUACGGUGCCUUAGAGAGCAGCAACAUGGAGGUGGAUAUCGGAUACUUACCACAGAUGGAGCUGGAGUCUCUGGGACCAUCUACCCCUUCGGUGAUUCAUGAUGAAAAUGGGAACGUGAUUGACAGCCGAGAAGGAGAACCAAUUCAGUUUAUUUUUGAAGAGAUUUCCUGGCAGAGAGAAAUAAGCUGGGAAGAAGCAUCUGAGAAACUGGAAGUGGUCAUGUAUCCAUUUAAGAAAGUUUCCUACUUUCCUUUUACCCAGGCUUUUGAAAAGGCCAAAUCUGAGGGUAAACUUGUUCAUUCCAUACUCUUGUGGGGAGCCUUAGAUGAUCAGUCAUGCUGAGGUUCAGGGCGAACUCUCCGGGAGACAGUCCUGGAAAGUUCGCCCAUCCUUGCAUUCCUGAAUGAGAGUUUCAUCAGCACCUGGUCGUUGGUGAAGGAGCUGGAAGAUUUACAGGAUAAACAGGACAAGAUCACCAGCAAACUUGCAGCCCUUCACCUUGAAAAGUAUAACUUCCCCGUGGAGAUCAUGAUCUGCCUGCCCAAUGGCACUGUGGUUCACCACAUCAACGCCAACUAUUUCCUGGAUAUCACUUCUAUGAAGCCCGAAGAAGUUGAGAGCAGCAUCUUUAGUUUCUCCUCUGGUUUUGAAGACCCCUCGACAGCAACUUAUCUCCAGUUUUUGAAGGAAGGACUUCAGAAAGCCAAAUCUUACCUGUAGCCCAGGAGUGGGUUCUACUUACCUUUACUAACCGGUUCGCAAUGGGAUCGCACACUCGCUUUGCUCGCGCGCACAAAAGCUUCUGCGCAUGCGCAGAUCACCUAUGGCAACAUCUGGGUCGAUGGGCAGAGCCUCCCGCCGGUUUUACUAUCGGUUCUUGCAAACCGGUCUGAACCAGGGGGACAACCCACCACUGCUGUAGCCCCCCAAGACCCAGAAGCAAACAAGUGUCCUCCUCUUGAUCCAACAAUUCUUGCUUCUUGUGCUUUUGGAGCGCAGGAUUAACCGUGUUGAAGAACAAAUGUUGUAUAUAAAUGAAAACUCUCCAAACCAGUGCUGCACCAGGACAAUACCCUCCUGACUGGGAAUUGGGUGAGGAGUUGUCUCACCCACAAGCCAACAAAGUGGUCAUCCUCAGGCCAUCCAAGCCUCCACAUCCCUCUUGACUAUUCUUCUCAAGCCAGAUUUAGUUCCAAAGUCUCCAUUAAUAAAUCCGUUAACCUUUACCAUCCCAUCAAGAAUAGGGUAUCUUGCACUGCUUUAAGCACAUGCAAUAUAUGAAAUGCGUUCCCAGGGAUAGUGUGCUGUCCGACAUCAAGCCUUUGGAAGGGUUUACUAAUGUUUUUUGGUCACAGAGAGCCCUAGCCACAGGAAUUUAACAGCGCUACAGUUGUUGAUAUCCUCUCAGUUGUGAGAUGGUUUUCAAAAUGGGUUCAUACAGCCUGUUGUUGUUGUUUUCUCCUUUCUCUACCGUAGGUACUGCACGUUAAUUUCUCAUGUUUCUAAUUUCUUGACUGGGGGAAAAGACAUAUAAAUUCACCUGAGAACAGGAUCAUUCAGAGAUAAGCAAUAUAUCCUAUAACCCAGAAGAAAUUAUACUUUCGUUCUCUCCUGAUAAUCCCAUGAUUGAUGAUGAUGAGGAUGAAGAUGUUAUCCAUUCAGUCACGUCUGUGGUUCAGGUCUCUCCAUGCCUUCAGAACUUGCACUACUUUUUUGAGUUGUUCUAUGCUUCUGUCUCAGAUGUGGUGGCUCAGUGGCUAAGACACCGAGCUUGUCGAUCAAAAGGUCGACAGUUCAGCGGUUCGAAUCCCUAGUACCGUGUAAUAAGGUGAGCUCCCAUUACUGGUCCCAGCUUCUGCCAACCUAGCAGUUCGAAAGCACAUUAAAAAUGCCAGUAGAAAAAUAAGGACCACCUUUGAUGGGAAGGUAACAGCGCACGGAACGCCUUUGGUGUUCAGUCAUGCCAGCCACAUGACCACGGAGACAUCUUUGGACAGCGCUGGCUUUGAAAUGGAGAUGAGCACCGCCCCCUAGAGUCAGGAACGACUAGCACAUAUGUGCAAGGGGAACCUUUACCUUUACCUUUAUGCUCUGGCUGGUGUCAGCUUUGAUGGUGUCCAGCUACUGUAUUCUUUGGUGGCCUGGUUUCCUUUUACUGCUAACUCUUCCAAACCUAAUCUCUUUCUCCAGUGAAUUCCCCUUUGCCUUGUUCACAGAAUUUUACAUUAGAUCCCAAAUGAUGUCUCUCUUAAUAUUGCUACCAUGUGUUUGUUUUUUUCAGGAUUUGUUUUGGCAGUAGGUUGGGGGUUUUGUUACCAGAAAAGAAAAUCUGUAGAAGAUACAUUGUAGAAGAUAUUUUAGGAAUGGAGAAAGAUUUUUACCCUUGUUGGGUUUGUUUUUAAAUAAUGAAAAAGAGAGCCAGUAUUUUUAUAAACAAAUGUGUUCAAUUUCUGACUUAGGCACUCUGGGUGGUCGAGCCACCUGUUGUGACCCAGGCCCAAGUAGGUAAUAGGAAACUCAAGUCAGUCAAAAAACAAACUUUAUUUGAACAGUUGAGAAUUACUUCAUUCCCAGCGUAGUUCAACUAAAUUAAAGCAAAUUCCUCCCAACACAAAUUCCUCAGUCCUAUCACCAACCUUGGUCCAAUUAGGCAAACUGCCAAAGGCCUUUCUUGGGAAAAAUUCAGAAGUCACCGAUACAAAAAUAAAUGCAAGACGUAGACAAAGAAGAAGAGGAAGCUACCAACGUUGUUUUCCGGCAAAGCCCAAACACCGUUGCUGGUCUGUUUUAAGCCUUAUGGGAGGGGCCAAUCAUCUCCUGGCCUUACUCCCAAGUUGUCCUUUUUGCUUGAACUGCUCUUGCCUUCUGGCAGCUCUUCUCAUGCAUGCAUUAGGAAUAGGCUCCUCCUGUUCCUCUGCCUCACUACUAUCAGUCUCUGGAGGCUCUGGAGUCUGCACAUCACUCCCCGAUGGCCCUGGUCCCACCUCAGCCUCAUCGUUGUCUGACCCCAUUGCCAGCUCCACAGGCUGCUGGCAGACCACACCACCACCUAUUGAAAUCAACACACUACGAAAAGCCAAAAUUCUUCUUUUCCCUUUGAUUUUAAAGUUACAAAAUAAGCUACCUAUAUUAAGCCUAGCACAUCACAUAUGCUCUGAAGUCACUUAAAAAGCCUUUACUAUAGAAGCAGCUUGUUAGCAAGAAGGUAGUGCCUAAGGAUAGCCUCAGUUUACAAGCAGCGGCAGCAGCAACCUUUGCAUGCUUUUAUUUUUGUUUUAGUAACCUCUUUAUAUGAUUUAAAUGUUGCAUAGUCUAGGCCUUUGUAUUCAUAUGGUUGUCUGCUCUUAUUCGUCUCUUGAUAGUUCUUAACCUAUGCUCUCCUGAAUUUUUAAUCCGUUUGGAACAUUUCCAUAUAUCCCCAAUUCCCUUCUUGAGAGAUUCUGUGAUCAUCAUAACUUACUUAGUUCUACGUUGCCACCCUUUGCCUCUUGAGUUCCUUAUGUCUUUGUAGUUCUGCAUUAGCAUCACAUAUUCAAGGAAAGUCAAUGAGCAGUUGGCAUUGGUGGUAUUAGUGGAAAGAUGUCCUGUGUGUGCACACUUAUCUGCAGUGGAAAGCCAUAAAUGUUCCGCAGAAUACUCUCUUGUGAGCUGAACUCCCAACAGGUGCAUGGCACCAUGGAUGGAACUAUGGAAUUCAACUAUGAUGGUUGAAUUCCUGUGUCACAUUAACUCACAAGCAAGCCAAUGACCUUGAGUGGGUUUACACAUUGCCGAAAUGGGGUUUGCCUCAUAUGCAAACUCAGCUGAUGGUUUGCAGAUCGUGAUUUAUACACGCAGCCUAUCUUGGCUUGCUCAGCAAACCAUAGAUCAACAAUAUGUGAACACAGCCUAGGUGGCCAAGCGUUCUUUGUGUUAAAGUGGAGCGUAGAUUUUUAAUCAUUGUCACUCAAGCUAUUGGUAGUAACAGCUGUUACCAACAAUAGCUAUUGUAUUAAACUUUUUAAAAGGUAUGCUCUUAUGUUCCGUGACAGAGAAAUCCCAUAGGUGCAUCAGUAUUAUACUUAAUUUGUAUGUGUUAGGAUAAUGUGAAGGUUUAUUAAGCCAAUUUUUCUUUGCAAAGAUAAAGGCAGUAGCCAAAGCAGCAACUAAUUUUAUUCUACUGCAAAUUAGAGGGAGCCUAAUUUUAGAUCACAGGGCUGCUGUCAUGCUUUAACGUAAAAGAAACAAAAGGGAGCAUGUUCACAUCACUUCUGUAAAUUCAAAGAGGGUAGCUUUUUUUUCCUGGGCAAGAUUCACACCUGGCCUUUGAAUGGAACAUUGGGAGCUGCAUUCCUAAAAGGAGAGUGAAACUAGGAUUAAAAACCACAUUUCAUUUACAUUUCAAUGUAAUUACCAUUGAAUAUAGGCGCUUGGGGAAAGCCAUUUUAAUUACAUUUAAUUUAAAAGAGCUUAGGAAAUCAUGUAUUAAGAAUUUCCCCCUUUUGUCACAUAAAAAUUGCCAUUUAGUAAUAAUGUUUGAAAAUCUGGGGGGGCGGGGAGGCUACAGGCAAGAUUUUAAGCCACAGGCGUCAUCAGUUUAUCCAUCUCUUCUGCAAAGAAGCAUUCCUGAAAUCUAAGAGGUUUUAGAAGACUUCAGAAAGAAUGCCAAAUAUUUGUGCUGAUUGCCAAGCACUCAAAUCGUCUUUCCAAGAUCUUGUGGGUUUUUUUUCCAGAGUUAAGGCAAUGGAAUUGAGCAGACAUUUAGGAUGGCUUUGCUCCAGGAAGUUCUGCUUUCUUUGUGCAGUAAUCACCACACCCCAAUAUUUGAAAAACAAUUUUAAAAAAAUACUUUAAUUUCCCAGAUUCUUUCUCCUGCUUGAAUGUAUGAAAUUGGCUUAUAUUAAGAGAAGACCAUGGGUUGUCUUGGUCAAGUCCCAUUAACAAAAGUCAGAGGUUUCUGUUCAAUUCCUGGCAUCUCCAGAUAACACUGGAAAAGCUGCUGCCUGAAAUUCUGGGAGCCAUUGACUGCUGUCAGUUGUUAACGUUUUAUCCACAGUUAACAGAAUCUUGGUUUGUACAACACAUGCACACUAAGCCACAAACAAGUCAAGCACGCUUCAGCCUAAUGGGUAGUGGGAAUUUUACUAGUACCAGAUUAAAGUGAGCCAAUGAUUUGAUGCUCUAAAGGGCAAUUUUUUAUAUUUCUGCCUACACAAAACAACAUUAAUAGAUCAAAAUCUGAAUUAUUCUCUUGUUUUUCUGCCCAUGAUUCAUUAUAUGUAGAUAUUUCUAACUAAAUCUGGAAUUUCGGGAACUUCAGAGAAAAUGGACAUUUACUUCUGUUGGAUGUUGAUGAGGGUUGUGUAAACUUUAGAGCAAGAGUAUCCAACUUUGGCAAUUCUAAGACCGUGGACUUCAACUCCCAGAAUUCCCCAGCCAGCCAUGCUGGGUGAGGAAUUCUGGGAGUUGAAGUCCUCAAGUCUUAAGGUUGCACACCCUUGUUUCAGAGGAACCUGCUAGAAGAUGUCUUUCACUCUACUUCAAAACAGAAUGCAGAGAGUUGAUCUGCAAAUGGUCUGUAUGCCAUUUUGUCAUAUCAUGUACAGCUGUGUACUUACAAAGGCUGUGUAGUCUUGGAAGUUCUGCACAUUUCCUGUCUUACCCUCUGACUUUAGCCUACGAAUUUGAUCCUCGUUUGCUCUCGCUCGUGCAGGCAAAAGGCAAAUGAGUUAUUGAAAACAACUAAUGAUGUUCUUGGAAAAGAACCUUCUUUGUGGAAAGUUAUUUAAGGCUGCCAACUUGUAUCUGAACCAAGAAUAAGUUCCACUGAGCUCAGUGGGAUUUAUUUUGGAAUCACUGUGGAAAGAAAACACUAGUGUGGGCACUUUGGGGUAACUAAUUUCACUUAUUCUAUUUUUGAUCCCUGGAUUUCUUAACCAAAAAAGAAAAAAAAAGCUAAGCCUUUUCUAUUUAUCUUAUCACUAUAAAUAGAUUUUUAUAGGUAUUUUGAUAACUAUAGAGAGAAGAAAAUGAAUAGGUUGGUUUCUCUCCUUGAUCUCCGUUCUUUGUGAAGGCCUGAUCUUAAAUCGAGGAUGGGUCAGGUUUGAUGUCUGACGGUUGAUUGCGGGAGGAAAAAAAAUCUUUAUCAUUCUUCUCUUCAUUUUUUAACUAUUCCUUUAAAGGUUUUUAUUUUAUUUUUGCUAAGUGUUUCUUUUUUUUAAGAUGGUUUAUUGUAAAAUACAAACUUAUUUGUCUGUUAACAGCCUUUCCCCACUUAAAGUCUUUAGUGGUUUUUGGUGAUCCUGACAGUUAUACAGGUAGUCCUCAACUUACAACUACAAUUAAGUCCAGAAUUUCUGUUGCUAAGCAAGGCAGUUAUUGAGUUGUGCCCAAUUUUAUGACCUGUUUACUACAGCUGUUAAGUGAAUCACUGUAGUUGUUAAAUGGCACAUGCAGUCAUUAAGCGAAUCAAGUGUCUCCCAUUGACUUUGCUUGUAGAAAGCUGGCUGGAAAGAAUGCAAAUGGUGAUUCCAAGAUUCCAAGAAGCUACAACUGUCAUAAAUUCACACCAGUUCCUAGCGCCCAAGUUUUGAUCACGUAACUGUGGGAAGUUGCCAUGGUUGUACAGCACAUGUAAAGACAUGUGAAUGUCACUAUCAGUGCCAUUGUAACUUUGAAUGGUCACUAAACAAAUAGUUGUAAGUUGAGGACUACUUAUCUUAGUUAACUACCCAUACCUUCAAGAAUGAUUAGUUUGAAGCUGUAUAACACUGAGAAUGUUUUGCAUCUGAUUAGUGUUGCUAUUCAUAAAAUUAUAUUAGAAUGUCCUGGACAGAUUUUUAAUAAUGGUUAUCAGAGGUCUGUAAAACAAGUUGAGGUCAGUCUUUCAGAGAUUGUGCCAAUAUUCUUCAACAUUGCUUCAAAUGCUUCAAUGCUUCAAAGUAUUGCACCUUUUACACACCUCUAUUUGUUAUCGAAUACUGAAGAAAUAUUAAGGGGGGGGGGAAAUCAGGAAAGUUAAUUAAGUGAAGAUCAAUGUAUUUUUAAAAAGCUCUGUAUUUUUUUUUUAAAUUUAACUUGCUCAUAAUUCAUAUAGGAACCAUGGCCUCUGGAUUUCUUCGAAUCCCAAGAAUGUUCCGUUCACUUUGAAACUGAACUGUAUAUGAUUUUAAUUUCAGACCUCAGUUAUUAAAUUUGCAAGUUGACAGAUUCAUUUGUAACAGUAUCACCCAGUUGAACCAGUGUUACAGUAAACCAUCGUGGAUUUAUUCUUGUAUAAAAUGUUGGCAACAUGGCUGUUUGUAGCAGCAAAGAUCACUCUUUUGCAAUAAUAAAAAUUGGGAAAACCAAACAAAUGUGUUUUUGUAUU